Molecule: ribosomal RNA, 500 nt
Filed under: uncultured bacterium
Lineage: Bacteria
Description: partial 16S ribosomal RNA
Rfam family: Bacterial small subunit ribosomal RNA
Source: RNAcentral
AUUGAACGCUGGCGGAAUGCUUUACACAUGCAAGUCGAACGGCAGCACGGGGGCAACCCUGGUGGCGAGUGGCGAACGGGUGAGUAAUACAUCGGAACGUGCCCAGUCGUGGGGGAUAACGUAGCGAAAGUUACGCUAAUACCGCAUACGAUCUACGGAUGAAGGCGGGGGACCGUAAGGCCUCGCGCGAUUGGAGCGGCCGAUGGCAGAUUAGGUAGUUGGAGAGGUAAAGGCUCACCAAGCCGACGAUCUGUAGCUGGUCUGAGAGGACGACCAGCCACACGGGGACUGAGACACGGCCCAGACUCCUACGGGAGGCAGCAGUGGGGAAUGUUGGACAAUGGGCGCAAGCCUGAUCCAGCCAUUCCGCGUGGAGGACGAAGGCCUUCGGGUUGUAAACUGCUUUUGUACGGAACGAAAAGGCUCUGGUUAAUACCUGGGGCUCAUGACGGUACCGUAAGAAUAAGCACCGGCUAACUACGUGCCAGCCGCCGCCGUAA